Molecule: long non-coding RNA, 1147 nt
Organism: Sebastes umbrosus (honeycomb rockfish)
Lineage: Eukaryota; Metazoa; Chordata; Actinopteri; Perciformes; Sebastidae
Exons: 5
Source: RefSeq, a predicted model, not a curated record
CAAACACAGGUGUUCUCUAUCUGCUGUGAUCAUGAACCCUCCAGUCCCUUUCAGACCAGGUGAAGGUUUACUGACUAAAUCCUCGGCUUCAUCAUUAAAUACUGUCUCAACUGGGCUGGGAGGUUGUGAAUAUUUCAUCUUGUUUUGUUGCUCUGGUCUGGUGUGUUUCUGUCACAGGACGAGGACUUCCUGGACUCAGAACCGUCUGCUGGCAGGUCGCUGUUGUGGGCGGCGGCGGGCAGCGAGGAGAGGCCGAGGCCUGACUGACGGCCGCAGAACGAGGGCGGAGCCUGGAUGAGCGGCGGCGUGUGGCCGAAGGCGCCGAGCCCUCGCUGAUGAGAGAGCAGCUGCUGGUGACCGUAGGAGCUGCUGGCGGCCGAGCUGGAGCGCGAGUUGUUGAUGUAGGCGACCAGCGAGUUGGGCGAAGUGCGGAUCAUCGUCUGGAGGUCGAUGCUGGCGUCCGACAGCGGCGAGAUGGACAGCGCCCUCUUCCUGCCGAGCCGCGGCGUCAGUCUGGAGCCGGAGAACCGCGACACUGUGGACGAUGCAAAGAACGACUCCUGAGAUCCAAACAGUCGCCUCCUCGUGUCACACGCCGCCGUUAUUUCAGGAUGGAGGAGGCGUGAUGGAUGCCGCCGCAGCCUCCCCGCGACACCCUGAACCCCCGACGGACGCAGAACAACCAUAUCAACGAGCUCCACGUCGACUCACAGCUGAUCCACAAAACAAUCUGUUCACGGUGACGGAGACUGAACCUGACGGAGGAGAGAUCACGGAGUCCCCACGCGGCACAAAAUCCACCAAAACGAACUUUCUUUAGGAACAUCAACAACUCCCAUGAUCCCGCGCUGCUUCACGGAAAGAACUCUGUAAAAUAAUAUGGCACUUUAUGCAAAAUCAUAUUUUAUAAACUGUCUUUCUGCAGUAAUUUACUGUAAGUUACUUUUGUGUCUCUACAAAUAUUAUUAAUUACUCUUAAAAACAUUUAACCACAUGCUUAAUAACAAAAAACACAUAGAGUGACGACUGAUUUCUGUAAUCUCACAUUUCUUCUUUCAUGUAAUCUUAAAUUAUUUGUAUUUUUAAAGAUGAACUUUUAAAUAUCUAAAACUAUAGAAAGAAAUAUCUGUUAAAUAUCUAAAAAUAC